Aeromonas hydrophila subsp. hydrophila ATCC 7966 is the source of this 183-nucleotide non-coding RNA. It matches the Rfam family "6S / SsrS RNA". Rfam says of the family: E. coli 6S RNA was the first non coding RNA to be sequenced, but its function was unknown until recently. The record is from Rfam. Lineage: Bacteria; Pseudomonadati; Pseudomonadota; Gammaproteobacteria; Aeromonadales; Aeromonadaceae.
AAUUCCCUGGGGUGUUUGUCAGCCGGUUCAAGUCCCCGAGCCGAUAUUCAUACCAAACAGGGGAUCUGCCUUCUGGCUAUUGCGCAUGCUCGGCACGACCGAGAAGCCUGCGGUCAGAUCCGAUCCCCGCCUUGAACCGACGGUUCAAGGGCCCAAACCGGCAACGGCAUCUCCGGGGUACCA